RNAcentral lists this non-coding RNA (24 nucleotides) under Arabidopsis thaliana (thale cress). Lineage: Eukaryota; Viridiplantae; Streptophyta; Magnoliopsida; Brassicales; Brassicaceae. The record is from RNAcentral.
AGCGGGUCGCCGCGUGCCGGCCGG